GUGAGUAGAAUAUUGAAAUAUAACGUGUGAGUUAUGAAUUGGCAUGAGAAGAGGUAUUAGGUAAAGAAUAGGUUAUUAUUGUUAACUUUAUUGUGAUGAUAAAUAGUGAUAUAGAGCGGAUUACGUCCGGUACUUUUUGCAUCAUGGUUUGUAGAGAGUAUUCAAUUGGUUGGGUUCCCGAAAGUCAUAGAUCUAUUCUGGCUAAAAUGGGUUUAUAACAAUGUUUGUGUAUCAACUCCACUCGAAUGUUGGAAAAUUGUUUGAGAAGGUUGGGAUAGGGCGAAAAGCUAUUCGUGAUGGCUGAUAGCUGGUUAAGGAGGAAAUGCAUCUGAGUGCAGGCUUUUCUUUCGUCUUUUUUAUUAGUAAAUUGGAUGGGGUGUUCGGCUGAUGUGCGUGGGGGUUAGCUCGUGCACGGUGCGGUGUAGGAUGAAGUACUAAGUAGGAUUUAAACUGUCUCCCUUUGUGACUCUUAUUUAAGGUAAAUGCAAUUAAUGAAUAAUAAGUUAGGUAUUCCUUUAGUUUAGUUAAUUAGGCUGAUUUGGAUUAGUAUAAAAUGAGUAGAAGAGGUGGGAAGAAUAGUAAUUUAUCAAUUUGUCAAAUCCCAAUUUUUGUGGGUUCGGCAGAUGAAGUUAUAACUAUAAUUUUGAGAUUUGUUUUGGAUAUACUUCUAAUGAACUCGGCAAAUUUUUUCUGCACCUGUUUAUUAAAAACAUGGCUUCCUGAGGUUCGUUAAUAGGAGGUCAGGCCUGCCCGGUGGAGAGUUUCUAAACGGUCGCAGCUUUUACUGUGCUAAGGUAGCGUAAUAGGUCGUCCUUUAAUUGGGGAAAAGUAUGAAUGGUCAGAUGGUGGAAAUACUUUAUUAGAUGUAAUUCUUUGAAAUUUACUUUCAGUGUGCAAAGGCCUGAAUAUAUUUAUUAGACGAGAAGACCCUGUUGAGCUUAGUAAGGCGUGUUCGUUUAGGUUGCGCUGUACGUUUGUUCGGGGCCGAGAGGAAGGGAAGGAAAUUCCUUCUUAGUAAGAUGAGGAUCCAGCAUGGCUGACAAGAAAAAGAUAGUUACCACAGGGAUAACAGCGCAAUCUCUCUGUCAAGAUCUAAUUUGAGGAGGGGUUUGCGACCUCGAUGUUGAAUCAGAAUUUCUACUAGGGUGUAGCAGCUUAGUAAGUGGGACUGUUCGUCCUUUGAAAUUUUACGUGAUUUGAGUUUAGACCGGCGUGAGCUAGGUCGGUUUCUAUCUGUAGUUUGGAAAAUCCUAGUACGAAAGGAUCGGGUUUUUUAGUCUGUACUAUAAUGUUUUACGUGGGUUGAGUUUGGAAGCUUGCUGUAAUUUAUUAUUCGGCGAUGGAUGGCAGAAAAUG
Molecule: ribosomal RNA, 1356 nt
Filed under: Sanguinolaria ovalis
Lineage: Eukaryota; Metazoa; Mollusca; Bivalvia; Cardiida; Psammobiidae
Description: 16S ribosomal RNA
Rfam family: Archaeal large subunit ribosomal RNA (bases 653-1356)
Source: RNAcentral